AGCUUUUUGCAGUGGCAGUAUCGUAGCUAACGAGGUUUAUCUGAGGCACAAUUAUUGCUAAUUGAAAGAUUUAAAGAAAGAAAGUGAAAAAGAUCUCAGAAGAUGGAAAAAUCUUCUAUGCUCAUGGAUCAGUAGGAUU
Non-coding RNA from Mus caroli (Ryukyu mouse), 139 nucleotides. The record is from RefSeq and is a predicted model, not a curated record. NCBI's taxonomy places the organism in Eukaryota, Metazoa, Chordata, Mammalia, Rodentia, Muridae.